GAUGUGCUCUCUUGGCCCAUGAAAUCAAGCGUGGGUGAGACCUGGUGCAGAACAAGAAGGCGACCCAUACUUGGUUUCAGAGGCUGCGAGAAUA
Molecule: microRNA precursor, 94 nt
Filed under: Propithecus coquereli (Coquerel's sifaka)
Lineage: Eukaryota; Metazoa; Chordata; Mammalia; Primates; Indriidae
Description: miRNA (ENSPCOG00000011613.1)
Rfam family: mir-551 microRNA precursor family (bases 13-86)
Source: RNAcentral